RNAcentral lists this ribosomal RNA (253 nucleotides) under uncultured bacterium. Its description in RNAcentral is "partial 16S ribosomal RNA". It matches the Rfam family "Bacterial small subunit ribosomal RNA", at positions 524 to 776 of the family's 1533-position model. The record is from RNAcentral.
UACGUAGGUGGCAAGCGUUAUCCGGAAUUAUUGGGCGUAAAGCGCGCGUAGGCGGUUUUUUAAGUCUGAUGUGAAAGCCCCCGGCUCAACCGUGGAGGGUCAUUGGAGACUGGAAAACUUGAGUGCUGAAGAGGAAAGUGGAAUUCCAUGUGUAGCGGUGAAAUGCGUAGAGAUAUGGAGGAACACCAGUGGCGAAGGCGGCUUUCUGGUUAGUAACUGACGCUGAUGUGCGAAAGCGUGGGGAGCAAACAGG